UGGGAAUAUUGGACAAUGGGCGAAAGCCUGAUCCAGCAAUGCCGCGUGAGUGAUGAAGGCCUUAGGGUUGUAAAGCUCUUUUACCCGGGAUGAUAAUGACAGUACCGGGAGAAUAAGCUCCGGCUAACUCCGUGCCAGCAGCCGCGGUAAUACGGAGGGAGCUAGCGUUGUUCGGAAUUACUGGGCGUAAAGCGCACGUAGGCGGCGAUUCAAGUCAGAGGUGAGAGCCCGGGGCUCAACCCCGGAACUGCCUUUGAAACUAGAUUGCUAGAAUCCUGGAGGGGCGAGUGGAAUUCCGAGUGUAGAGGUGAAAUUCGUAGAUAUUCGGAAGAACACCAGUGGCGAAGGCGACUCGCUGGACAGGUAUUGACGCUGAGGUGCGAAAGCGUGGGGAGCAAGCAGGAUUAGAUACCCUGGUAGUCCACGCCGUAAACGAUGAUAACUAGCUGUCCGGGCACUUGGUGCUUGGGUGGCGCAGCUAACGCAUUAAGUUAUCCGCCUGGGGAGUACGGUCGCAAGAUUAAAACUCAAAUGAAUUGACGGGGUCAAGCUGUUUCCUG
Molecule: ribosomal RNA, 560 nt
Filed under: uncultured bacterium
Lineage: Bacteria
Description: partial 16S ribosomal RNA
Rfam family: Bacterial small subunit ribosomal RNA
Source: RNAcentral